This 560-nucleotide ribosomal RNA is filed under the name Vibrio splendidus. RNAcentral's name for it is "bacterial SSU rRNA". It matches the Rfam family "Bacterial small subunit ribosomal RNA", at positions 922 to 1480 of the family's 1533-position model. The record is from RNAcentral. Lineage: Bacteria; Pseudomonadati; Pseudomonadota; Gammaproteobacteria; Vibrionales; Vibrionaceae.
CCCACAGCGGUGGAGCAUGUGGUUUAAUUCGAUGCAACGCGAAGAGCCUUACCUACUCUUGACAUCCAGAGAAGCCAGCGGAGACGCAGGUGUGCCUUCGGGAACUCUGAGACAGGUGCUGCAUGGCUGUCGUCAGCUCGUGUUGUGAAAUGUUGGGUUAAGUCCCGCAACGAGCGCAACCCUUAUCCUUGUUUGCCAGCGAGUAAUGUCGGGAACUCCAGGGAGACUGCCGGUGAUAAACCGGAGGAAGGUGGGGACGACGUCAAGUCAUCAUGGCCCUUACGAGUAGGGCUACACACGUGCUACAAUGGCGCAUACAGAGGGCAGCAAGCUAGCGAUAGUGAGCGAAUCCCAAAAAGUGCGUCGUAGUCCGGAUUGGAGUCUGCAACUCGACUCCAUGAAGUCGGAAUCGCUAGUAAUCGUGAAUCAGAAUGUCACGGUGAAUACGUUCCCGGGCCUUGUACACACCGCCCGUCACACCAUGGGAGUGGGCUGCAAAAGAAGUGGGUAGUUUAACCUUUCGGGGAGGACGCUCACCACUUUGUGGUUCAUUACCUCAU